Molecule: long non-coding RNA, 2268 nt
Organism: Cydia pomonella (codling moth)
Lineage: Eukaryota; Metazoa; Arthropoda; Insecta; Lepidoptera; Tortricidae
Exons: 2
Source: RefSeq, a predicted model, not a curated record
CAAAAUGGAACUCGCCAAUUCGCGCGCGAUAUGUUUUAUUUGUUUAUUUUGUAGCAAGUAAAGUUCUUGAAGACAUUUGUGUCAUAAGGUCUAGUUCUGAGGAUGGGUUCCAUGAGAAAUCGAAGAAAUUCCUCAAAUCUUAUAGGCAUACAAUACAUACAGUAAUGUUUGGAUUCUCGUCAACAUAUCAAGCAUUUUUAUUUAAACAAGUUAGUGAUAUUGACCAGAACGGAACUCUUCAACGCGCGCGAUUCUUAUUCUUUGUUAAGUUUGUAGCAAGCUAGGUUCUUAGGAAACAUUUGUGUCAAGGUCCAGUUCUGAUGAUGGAUUCAAUGAGGAAUUGAGGAUUUUAAAUCGAUUUGAAUUCACAAUUAGGAGGAUUUUCGUCAACAUAUCAAGUUUUUUUUAUUUGAACAAGUGACAUUUGAUGAAGUGAAACUGCUGAUAUUACUGAAACUAUGCUGAUACUGCUGAAAUGGAACUCUUCAACGACAAGUAUUUUACCUUAGGCGUUUUUUUUAUUUUAUUUCGUUUAUAGCAUGUAAGGCUUUUAAGGAACAUUUGUGUCAAGGUCCAGUUCUGAUGAUAGGUUCUACGAGAAACUGAAGGAGCUUCUCAUAUUGUAUAGGAUAGGCAUACAUAUAGUCAUUUUAGGAUUUUCAUCAAUAUUAUAAGCAUUUUUACUCAAUAAAGUGACAUUUGUUGAAGUAGAAUUGCUGAUGAAGAACGGAACACCUCAACGACUUCCAGAUUCUUUAUUUUUAUUACUCUUCUUUCUUUUUCAUUAUUCUUAGAACAGGUAUUUCUACGAAGUGAACCGAACUGCUACUAUUAAAAGUAGGUAGGUAGGUAGGUUAAAUAGGUUAAAACUGUAAGGAUUAUUAUGUAUAAGUAGUUUCUUUUAAUUAAACAUAGGUAAGUAAUUCUAUUUAAGUAUAAGUAUCUUUAAAAAAACAUCAAUCGACUCUUAUCUGUCACUAGUUCCAGUUUCAGAGUAUAAAAUCCGGGUACACAGCCACGGCUAGCCGGGUAGCCAGACAGUUCGAAUACGGACAAGUUAUUGUGAAUAAAAAAUCUUAUCGUCUUGCAAAAGUUAAUGUCAUAAAUGUAUAGGUUUCGAAUACAUGAAUAUAAAGUGAAAAUGCUGGUAAAAGUAUUAGUUUUUAUCAUUAACCAUUUUAUAUCCCAACAAAACUGUUACCCUUACAAAAAUAAAAUGCUUUCAUUACCUAAUGUAGGUUACGUUAGGUAAUAAAUAAAUAAAUAUGUACAUAGGACAAUCUUACACAGAUUGGCCCCAAACUAAUCAAAGCUUGUACUAUGGGUACUAGGCGACGUUAAACAUACUUAUUUAGAUAAAUAUAUAUUUACGUAUAUACAUAGAAAACACGCAAGCCUUAGGAACAAAUAUCUGUAUUCAUCACACAAAGAAAUGCCCUUACGCGAUUCAAACUCGGGACCAUCGGCUUCAUAGGCAGGGUCACUACCCACUAGGCCAAACCGGUCGGCAAAAGGUAAAGAUAAUUAGGUAAAGACAAUGAAUAAUUAAACGUAUUAUAAAUUGACACCAAUAUCCAUCAAAUAGUAUAACUAGGUAUGCUAAGAGCGGGCUUCAGGCCAUUACGUCGCACCUUUAGAAUUAAAUUAAUUUGACUCAAAAAGUACGACUACUUUAUAUAUGUAGUUUGGUAGAACAGUAAGAACUCACUAUAUGUGUCUCUUUUUCAUGCGGUGAAAUCCCCCCACCCGGAAAGGAUAGCGACGCCCAUUUUAUCGACUCUCGAGUCGACUCCAAUCUGAUACUAAUAAAACCAUACGGAAAUAAUGAGGAUGCAUCGACAUAAGAAGAAUCGAACAUGGGCAAGAUAAAGUUCAAGAAAAAAGCAAAUAUAAUGUGUACUUGUGUGUAGUCAAAGAAAGUUGAAAAAUAAAGCAUAAUUAAUGGCCAUAGAAUACAGAACCGAUACACGAACAUUAAGACUAUUAAAAAUAGACAUAUAGGUUGAUCGUACUACUCGUACUAAUGUAUAUCUUUUGUUCAAUUAUAUUAUUGCAUUAAAGUUAGAUUCUCUAGAUAUAUAUUAUUCAUAGGUUCUGUAUUCUAUACGAAUUGUUUCAGUGUAAUUAUUGUACUAAAUACCGUUGACCGCCUGUCAACAGUAUUUAUUUCUACAUUACUAUCACAGAAGAUUUUAGGCCCUACCGUACAGUUUUUGAAUUAGUAUUUACUAUGGACAAAUAUAGCGAAAUGUGAGUUUUUACCUAAAA